Molecule: ribosomal RNA, 391 nt
Filed under: uncultured bacterium
Lineage: Bacteria
Description: bacterial SSU rRNA
Rfam family: Bacterial small subunit ribosomal RNA
Source: RNAcentral
AUUGAACGCUGGCGGCAUGCUUUACACAUGCAAGUCGAGCGGCAGCGCGGGGGGCAACCCUGGCGGCGAGCGGCGAACGGGUGAGUAAUGCAUCGGAACGUACCCUGGAGUGGGGGAUAACGCCGCGAAAGCGGCGCUAAUACCGCAUAUGCUCUGAGGAGGAAAGUGGGGGACCUGCAAGGGCCUCACGCUCUGGGAGCGGCCGAUGUCCGAUUAGCUAGUUGGUGGGGUAAAGGCUUACCAAGGCGACGAUCGGUAGCUGGUCUGAGAGGAUGAUCAGCCACACUGGGACUGAGACACGGCCCAGACUCCUACGGGAGGCAGCAGUGGGGAAUUUUGGACAAUGGGGGCAACCCUGAUCCAGCCAUGCCGCGUGAGUGAAGAAGGCCUC